RNAcentral lists this ribosomal RNA (425 nucleotides) under uncultured bacterium. RNAcentral describes it as "bacterial SSU rRNA". It matches the Rfam family "Bacterial small subunit ribosomal RNA", at positions 30 to 439 of the family's 1533-position model. The record is from RNAcentral.
AUUGAACGCUGGCGGCGUGCCUAACACAUGCAAGUCGAGCGGUAACAGGUGUAGCAAUACAUGCUGACGAGCGGCGAACGGGUGAGUAAUGCUUCGGAAUCUGCCCAUGUAGUGGGGAAUAACCAGCCGAAAGGUUGGCUAAUACCGCAUACGACCCUUGCCCACAAGGCAAAGGUGAAAGCAGGGGAUCGCAAGACCUUGCGCUAUUGGAUGAGCCGAAGUCGGAUUAGCUAGUUGGUAGGGUAACGGCCUACCAAGGCGACGAUCCGUAGCUGGUCUGAGAGGACGACCAGCCACACUGGGACUGAGACACGGCCCAGACUCCUACGGGAGGCAGCAGUGGGGAAUAUUGGACAAUGGGGGCAACCCUGAUCCAGCGACGCCGCGUGUGUGAAGAAGGCCUGCGGGUUGUAAAGCACUUUUAG